GACGAACGCUGGCGGCGUGCCUAAUACAUGCAAGUCGAACGCAUUUUCUUUCACCGUAGCUUGCUACACCGAAAGAAAAUGAAUGGCGAACGGGUGAGUAACACGUGGGUAACCUGCCCAUCAGCGGGGGAUAACACUUGGAAACAGGUGCUAAUACCGCAUAAUUCCAUUUACCGCAUGGUAGAUGGGUGAAAGGCGCUUUUGCGUCACUGAUGGAUGGACCCGCGGUGCAUUAGCUAGUUGGUGGGGUAACGGCCUACCAAGGCUGCGAUGCAUAGCCGACCUGAGAGGGUGAUCGGCCACACUGGGACUGAGACACGGCCCAGACUCCUACGGGAGGCAGCAGUAGGGAAUCUUCGGCAAUGGACGCAAGUCUGACCGAGCAACGCCGCGUGAGUGAAGAAGGUUUUCGGAUCGUAAAACUCUGUUGUUAGAGAAGAACAAGGAUGAGAGUGGAAAGUUCAUCCCUUGACGGUAUCUAACCAGAAAGCCACGGCUAACUACGUG
Molecule: ribosomal RNA, 507 nt
Filed under: uncultured bacterium
Lineage: Bacteria
Description: partial 16S ribosomal RNA
Rfam family: Bacterial small subunit ribosomal RNA
Source: RNAcentral